Molecule: unclassified non-coding RNA, 233 nt
Filed under: uncultured Mycena
Lineage: Eukaryota; Fungi; Basidiomycota; Agaricomycetes; Agaricales; Tricholomataceae
Description: sequence contains ITS1
Source: RNAcentral
CUGAAUUAACGAAGUUGGUUGAUGCUGGUCUUUCGGGAUAUGUGCUCGCCGCUUCAAAUUCACCCUUUUACCACCUGUGCACUUUUGUAGAUUGCAAUACCUCUCAACGAUUGAUUUCGUUGGAUAGAAAGACAUGCGCUUCAGCUGUCCUUCAAUUUUGCAGUCUAUUUUACAUCUCCAUAUACAAGUCUUAGAAUGUCCUUUGUGGGUCGAAAGACCUAUAAAACUUAAUA